UACGAAGGGGGCUAGCGUUGCUCGGAAUCACUGGGCGUAAAGCGCACGUAGGCGGCUUUCUAAGUCAGGGGUGAAAUCCUGGAGCUCAACUCCAGAACUGCCUUUGAUACUGGAAAGCUUGAGUUCGGGAGAGGUGAGUGGAACUGCGAGUGUAGAGGUGAAAUUCGUAGAUAUUCGCAAGAACACCAGUAGCGAAGGCGGCUCACUGGCCCGGUACUGACGCUGAGACGCGAAAGCGUGGGGAGCAAACAGG
RNAcentral lists this ribosomal RNA (253 nucleotides) under uncultured bacterium. Its description in RNAcentral is "partial 16S ribosomal RNA". It matches the Rfam family "Bacterial small subunit ribosomal RNA", at positions 524 to 776 of the family's 1533-position model. The record is from RNAcentral.